AACGAACGCUGGCGGCAGGCCUAACACAUGCAAGUCGAGCGAGGACUUCGGUCAUAGCGGCGGACGGGUGAGUAACGCGUGGGAACGUGCCCUUUGCUUCGGAAUAGCCCUGGGAAACUGGGAGUAAUACCGGAUGAGCCCUUUGGGGGAAAGAUUUAUCGGCGAAGGAUCGGCCCGCGUUGGAUUAGGUAGUUGGUGGGGUAAUGGCCUACCAAGCCGACGAUCCAUAGCUGGUUUGAGAGGAUGAUCAGCCACACUGGGACUGAGACACGGCCCAGACUCCUACGGGAGGCAGGAGUGGGGAAUCUUAGACAAUGGGGGAAACCCUGAUCUAGCCAUGCCGCGUGAGCGAUGAAGGCCUUAGGGUUGUAAAGCUCUUUCAGCUGGGAAGAUAAUGACGGUACCAGCAGAAGAAGCCCCGGCUAACUCCGUG
Molecule: ribosomal RNA, 433 nt
Filed under: uncultured bacterium
Lineage: Bacteria
Description: partial 16S ribosomal RNA
Rfam family: Bacterial small subunit ribosomal RNA
Source: RNAcentral